GGAUUCCCCUAGUAACUGCGAGUGAAGCGGGAAAAGCUCAAAUUUAAAAUCUGGCAGUCUUUGGCUGUCCGAGUUGUAAUCUAGAGAAGUGUUAUCCGCGCUGGACCGUGUACAAGUCUCCUGGAAUGGAGCGUCAUAGAGGGUGAGAAUCCCGUCUUUGACACGGACUACCAGGGCUUUGUGAUGCGCUCUCAAAGAGUCGAGUUGUUUGGGAAUGCAGCUCAAAAUGGGUGGUAAAUUCCAUCUAAAGCUAAAUAUUGGCGAGAGACCGAUAGCGAACAAGUACCGUGAGGGAAAGAUGAAAAGAACUUUGGAAAGAGAGUUAAACAGUACGUGAAAUUGCUGAAAGGGAAACGCUUGAAGUCAGUCGCGUCGUCCAGGGAUCAACCUUGCUUUUGCUUGGUGCACUUUCUGGUUGACGGGUCAGCAUCAAUUUUGACCAUUGGAAAAAGAUUAAGGGAAUGUGACAUCUUUGGAUGUGUUAUAGCCCUUGGUUGCAUACGAUGGUUGGGAUUGAGGAACUCAGCACGCCGCAAGGCCGGGUUUUUAACCACGUACGUGCUUAGGAUGCUGGCAUAAUGGCUUUAAUCGACCCGUCUUGAAACACGGACCAAGGAGUCUAACAUGCCUGCGAGUGUUUGGGUGGAAAACCCGAGCGCGUAAUGAAAGUGAAAGUUGAGAUCCCUGUCGUGGGGAGCAUCGACGCCCGGACCAGACCUUUUGUGACGGUUCCGCGGUAGAGCAUGUAUGUUGGGACCCGAAAGAUGGUGAACUAUGCCUGAAUAGGGUGAAGCCAGAGGAAACUCUGGUGGAGGCUCGUAGCGAUUCUGACGUGCAAAUCGAUCGUCAAAUUUGGGUAUAGGGGCGAAAGACUAAUCGA
Molecule: ribosomal RNA, 880 nt
Filed under: Cortinarius cinnamomeus
Lineage: Eukaryota; Fungi; Basidiomycota; Agaricomycetes; Agaricales; Cortinariaceae
Description: eukaryotic LSU rRNA
Rfam family: Eukaryotic large subunit ribosomal RNA
Source: RNAcentral